Molecule: unclassified non-coding RNA, 315 nt
Filed under: uncultured fungus
Lineage: Eukaryota; Fungi
Description: partial contains internal transcribed spacer 2 and large subunit ribosomal RNA
Source: RNAcentral
AACGCACAUGGCACUUGUCACCUCGGUGGCAAGUAUACCUGUUUGAGAAUCGGUUCCAAUCCUGGCAUCGCCUUGAUGCCGACAUGACUGCGUCUCCUCGAGUCGAGGAGUCAGUUCAAAUGCAGACGAGUGGGGCUGGCGAGACCGUGCGUCUGCGCCGUGUGGUAAUGGACUUACACGUCCUCGAGCACGGAUGCAACGUGGGCGCGCAAUGUCGAGGCAGCACGCAAACCGACUUGAAGUGGUGCAAACCCGUACGGAUGGAAGGCCGUGAUCAACGAUCUCAAAUCAGGCAAGGCUACCCGCUGAACUUAA